ACCCUAAAACUAGCCAAAACAAGUUCAUAACCCACCAUUAUUAACCUUACCUAAACAUCUUCCAUCUAAUAUUAAAACAUUUUAUUCUUCCCAGUAUAGGCGAUAGAACAGAACCUUUGAGCUAUAGAAAUAGUACCGUGAGGGAAAGUUGAAAAAGAAAUGAAAUAAAUCACCAAAGUACAAAAAAGCAGAGACUUGUCCUCGUACCUUUUGCAUCAUGAUCUAGCAAGAACAAUUAGACAAAAAGGCCUUUUAGUCUAACUUCCCGAAACCAAACGAGCUACUUCGGAGCAGCAGUCAGAGCCAACCCACCUCUGUGGCAAAAGAGGGGGAAGACUCCCAAGUAGCGGUGAUAAGCCUACCGAGUUUGGUGAUAGCUGGUUAUCCAAGAAAAGAACCUAAGUUCUGCAUUAAUCUUUCAAUCAAGUAAUAAAAAAUCCUUUUAAUAAACUUGAUUGUAAUAAUUAAUAGUUAUUCAAAAAAGGUACAACUUUUUUGAACUAAGAAACAACUUUUAAAGGAGGGUAAUGAUUAUAACUUCCAAGGUUUAUUCCUCAGUAGGCCUAAAAGCAGCCACCUGUAAAGCAAGCGUCAUAGCUCAAGCCCAAAGACACACCAACCAAUCCCAAUAACUACUCAAAACCCCCUCAAACCCUAUUGGAUUAUUUUAUCAAAUAUAAAAGAAAUUAUGCUAGAAUGAGUAAUAAGGGGCUAACCCCCUCCUACAACACAAGUGUAAGCCAGAAAGAAUUAAAUCACUGAUAAUUAACCGACGCCAAACUGAGGCCCUCAUAAUAUAAACUAGACUAACAAGAAAACCCCAUAUUAACCAUCGUUGACCCUACACAGGAGUGUUAAAUAGGAAAGAUUUAAAGAAAAUAAAGGAACUCGGCAAACACAAACUCCGCCUGUUUACCAAAAACAUCGCCUCUUGCCUAACAUGUAUAAGAGGUCCCGCCUGCCCUGUGAUUUUUUUAACGGCCGCGGUAUCUUGACCGUGCGAAGGUAGCGUAAUCACUUGUCUUUUAAUUGAAGUCCCGUAUGAAAGGCAUCACGAGAGUUUAUCUGUCUCUAUUUUCCAAUCAAUGAAAUUGACCUUCUCGUGCAGAGACGAGAAUAAAACCAUAAGACGAGAAGACCCUAUGGAGCUUCAAACACUUAAGUUAAGUUUUUAAAAUACUAAAUCUCCCCCGGGUAUAAACAUAAAUUAACCCCUAACUUAACUUGUUUUCGGUUGGGGCGACCAAGGGGAAAAACAAAACCCCCUUAUCGAAUGUGUGAGAUAUCACUCAAAAAUUAGAAUUACAAUUCUAAUUAAUAGAAAAUCUAACGAACAAUGACCCAGGAACCUUCCUGAUCAAUGAACCAAGUUACCCUAGGGAUAACAGCGCAAUCCUUUCCUAGAGCCCCCAUCGCCGAAAGGGUUUACGACCUCGAUGUUGGAUCAGGACAUCCUAAUGGUGUAGCCGCUAUUAAGGGUUCGUUUGUUCAACGAUUAACAGUCCUACGUGAUCUGAGUUCAGACCGGAGAAAUCCAGGUCAGUUUCUAUCUAUGACGGAAUUCUUCCCAGUACGAAAGGACCGGAAAAAUAAAGCCCAUGCCUAUCGGUAUGCUUUAUUCCUACCUAUUGAAACCAACUCAAAUAGGAAAAGGUUACCAUCCUAUAACCAAAGAUAAUGGUUU
Molecule: ribosomal RNA, 1684 nt
Filed under: Pastinachus ater (banana tail ray)
Lineage: Eukaryota; Metazoa; Chordata; Chondrichthyes; Myliobatiformes; Dasyatidae
Description: l-rRNA
Rfam family: Bacterial large subunit ribosomal RNA
Source: RNAcentral